Molecule: ribosomal RNA, 468 nt
Filed under: uncultured bacterium
Lineage: Bacteria
Description: bacterial SSU rRNA
Rfam family: Bacterial small subunit ribosomal RNA
Source: RNAcentral
GAUGAACGCUGGCGGCGUGCCUAACACAUGCAAGUCGAACGGACUUACAUUGAAGCCUAGCGAUAUGUAAGUUAGUGGCGGACGGGUGAGUAACGCGUGGGUAACCUGCCUUGUACUGGGGGACAACAGUUGGAAACGACUGCUAAUACCGCAUAAGCGCACAGCUUCGCAUGAAGCAGUGUGAAAAACUCCGGUGGUACAAGAUGGACCCGCGUCUGAUUAGCUAGUUGGUGAGGUAACGGCCCACCAAGGCGACGAUCAGUAGCCGGCCUGAGAGGGUGAACGGCCACAUUGGGACUGAGACACGGCCCAAACUCCUACGGGAGGCAGCAGUGGGGAAUAUUGCACAAUGGGGGAAACCCUGAUGCAGCAACGCCGCGUGAGUGAAGAAGUAUUUCGGUAUGUAAAGCUCUAUCAGCAGGAAAGAAAAUGACGGUACCUGACUAAGAAGCCCCGGCUAACUACGUG